GCGUCACUGAUGAGUCUUAUGUAGACGAAUUGAUGUCUGGCCUAUAAAAUCCUGGUACCUUUGAUAACUAAUUAGACAACUGAAGGAUGCCAAGUGAUUACAAAAGCUCACAUGGUGACUUUAUAGUAGAUAAAAUAUGGCUGAGAUGUAAGCUUUGAAACAGAAUCAGGAAUAUCUCAUCAGCAUGCUAAAUAUAAUGCUUUGAGUCAGUGCUUUGUCA
RNAcentral lists this long non-coding RNA (220 nucleotides) under Mytilus galloprovincialis (Mediterranean mussel). The record is from RNAcentral. Lineage: Eukaryota; Metazoa; Mollusca; Bivalvia; Mytilida; Mytilidae.